RNA transcript from Sapajus apella (tufted capuchin), 842 nucleotides. It is a transcript of the gene named cytochrome c oxidase subunit 7A-related protein, mitochondrial pseudogene, with no coding region annotated. The record is from RefSeq and is a predicted model, not a curated record. The transcript has a single exon. NCBI's taxonomy places the organism in Eukaryota, Metazoa, Chordata, Mammalia, Primates, Cebidae.
AUACCUAUAGAGGCGGGAAGCCGGAGUCUCGGGCGUCAUGUACUACAAAUUUAGCGGCUUCACGCAGAAGUUGGCGGGAGCAUGGGCUUUGGAGGCCUAUAGCCCACAGGGAUUAAAGCCUGCAGUUCCCAUAGAAGCACCUCCUAUCAUAUUUGCCACACCAACUAAACUGACCUCCGAUUCCACAGUGUAUGAUUAUGCUGAGAAAAACAGAGUUCCGGAGCUGCAGAAGUUUUUCCAGAAAGCUGAUGGUGUGCCAUCUACCUGAAACGAGGCCUGCUUGGCCAAAUGCUUUACUGGACCACCAUGACCCUGACUGUGGGAGGGACCAUCUACUGCCUGAUUGCCCUCUACAUGGCUGCACAGCCCAAAAAACAAGUUAGGCUGCAGAGGACGGGUUUGCUUUUUUGGCAUAAACCCUUUGAAUUUCCUUUUUCAUUGUUCAUUUUUUUUUUUUAACUUGGAUGGCUUAACAUUUUUAAAAAUGCAAGAAAAAUAGGAAGAUACGAAGACAAUAUUUUGGUUUAUGAAAUGCAUAUGGCUUGUCAGAGCUCAUUCCACAGUUAAAGCCAUUGUUUAAAGAAACGGUGCUGUGCUCUGUGUUUGUGCUCCUGAUUUCCCUGGAGGUUCUGGGUGAAAGUUGCACACAGACUCAUGAAUGUCAGUCUGUGCCUCAGGGACUUGAGGUUGCAUUUGUUGAGCACAGGAUGCAGAAGCCUUUCUGGAUUUGGAUGUGACUGUGGAAAGAAUACAGAAGCCAAGGCCAUAUGCAUAAAAUGAGGAGUUGGAGUUAGUAGUCACCUCAGGGAUUUUUUCCAUUUUGCAGUAAGAAGUUAAAAGAA